UCCGGUUUGUCACCGGCAGUCACGCCAGAGUGCUCAGCUUUACCUGCUAGCAACUGGCAUCGAGGGUUGCGCUCGUUGCGGGACUUAACCCAACAUCUCACGACACGAGCUGACGACAGCCAUGCACCACCUGUCUUGGGGUUCCUUGCGGCACCCCCUAGUUUCCUAAGGGUUCCCCAGAUGUCAAGCCUUGGUAAGGUUCUUCGCGUUGCAUCGAAUUAAACCACAUGCUCCACCGCUUGUGCGGGCCCCCGUCAAUUCCUUUGAGUUUCAGUCUUGCGACCGUACUCCCCAGGCGGGAUACUUAACGCGUUAGCUACGGCACUGAGGGGGUCGAUACCCUCAACACCCAGUAUCCAUCGUUUACGGCUCGGACUAC
This 379-nucleotide unclassified non-coding RNA is filed under the name uncultured cyanobacterium. RNAcentral describes it as "contains 16S-23S intergenic spacer region". The record is from RNAcentral. Lineage: Bacteria; Bacillati; Cyanobacteriota.